Molecule: ribosomal RNA, 207 nt
Filed under: uncultured bacterium
Lineage: Bacteria
Description: partial 16S ribosomal RNA
Rfam family: Bacterial small subunit ribosomal RNA
Source: RNAcentral
CACGUAGGUGGGUUUGUAAGUCAGAUGUGAAAGCCUUCUGUUCAACGGAAGAAUUGCAUCUGAAACUGCGAGUCUUGAGUGUAGGAGGGGAGAAUGGAACUUCUGGUGGAGCGGUGAAAUGCGUAGAUAUCAGAAGGAACGCCGGCGGCGAAAGCGAUUCUCUGGCCUAUUACUGACACUCAGUGUGCGAAAGCUAGGGGAGCAACG